RNAcentral lists this long non-coding RNA (604 nucleotides) under Taeniopygia guttata (zebra finch). RNAcentral's name for it is "lncRNA (ENSTGUG00000029339.1)". The record is from RNAcentral. Lineage: Eukaryota; Metazoa; Chordata; Aves; Passeriformes; Estrildidae.
UUUAGUGAGAAAAAAUUCACUUGAAGGGACAAACACACAUAGUCCAGUCAUCAAUAUUUUACUUAAAAUAUUGCUCAGCCCUGCAAAAUGAGUAUAACCAGGCCUCUGAUUAUCUAGGUUGGCUAAGCAGUCAGACAAGCACUGAACUGUGCAUAAAAAAGGUGACCUUGGAUUUCAGACCACCUCUGUUCUCCAAGCAACAUCACUUUGUCCUUGCUUGGGUUGUAUUUCAGCAUCGCAGUACAGGAGGCAUGAGUGGAUUUGCAGUGGCUGCUCUGCCAGAGCUCUACAGGAACACAGGCAUAUAUCUCCAAGUUAUUAUGCUUUUCUAAACUUUGGAAGCAUCUGCAGCUGCACACAGUAAAACCAAAACCAGCUGGACUCUCUUAUCCAGCACAAGGACAAAUUUAAAGAAGUUUCACAUUUAUGACUUUCAUGAAAAAUCCUCCAGUCAAAUCCAAAAGAAACACGAACAUUUACCCUGCUAAAAAAGGUUUAACGCUUUCAUUCUGGCUUUGUGAGAUGAUGGCACAGGAGAGGCUGUGAUAAGGUGGUGGGCCUGGUUAAAACCCACCAAAUUUCUGCGGCUGCCCAUAACGACAAA